Molecule: ribosomal RNA, 497 nt
Filed under: uncultured bacterium
Lineage: Bacteria
Description: partial 16S ribosomal RNA
Rfam family: Bacterial small subunit ribosomal RNA
Source: RNAcentral
GAUGAACGCUGGCGGCGUGCCUAAUACAUGCAAGUCGAGCGAACAGACGAGGAGCUUGCUCCUCUGACGUUAGCGGCGGACGGGUGAGUAACACGUGGAUAACCUACCUAUAAGACUGGGAUAACUUCGGGAAACCGGAGCUAAUACCGGAUAAUAUUUUGAACCGCAUGGUUCAAAAGUGAAAGACGGUUUUGCUGUCACUUAUAGAUGGAUCCGCGCUGCAUUAGCUAGUUGGUAAGGUAACGGCUUACCAAGGCAACGAUGCGUAGCCGACCUGAGAGGGUGAUCGGCAACACUGGAACUGAGACACGGCCCAGACCCCUAGGGGAGGAAGCAGUGGGGAAUCUUGGGCAAUGGGCGAAAGCCGGCCGGAGCAAGCCCGCGUGGGGGAUGAAGGUUUUCGGAUCGUAAAACUCGUUUAUUGGGGAAGAACAGAUGGGUAAUGAACUGUGCACAUCUUGACGGUACCUAAUCAGAAAGCCACGGCUAACUACGUG